This 253-nucleotide ribosomal RNA is filed under the name uncultured bacterium. Its description in RNAcentral is "partial 16S ribosomal RNA". It matches the Rfam family "Bacterial small subunit ribosomal RNA", at positions 524 to 776 of the family's 1533-position model. The record is from RNAcentral.
GACGAAGGAUGCAAGCGUUAUCCGGAUUCAUUGGGUUUAAAGGGAGCGUAGGUGGCCUUAUAAGUCAGUGGUGAAAUCUCUGGGCUUAACCCAGAAAUUGCCAUUGAUACUGUAGGGCUUGAGUAUAGAUGCCGUUGGCGGAAUAUGACAUGUAGUGGUGAAAUACAUAGAGAUGUCAUAGAACACCGAUUGCGAAGGCAGCUAACGAAACUAUAACUGACACUGAGGCUUGAAAGUGUGGGGAUCAAACAGG